UGCGGGAUCGUUCAAUGGUAGGACAGCAGACUUUGGAUCUGCAUAUCUAGGUCCGACUCCUAGUCCCGCAG
RNAcentral lists this transfer RNA (71 nucleotides) under bacterium. RNAcentral's name for it is "tRNA-Gln". It matches the Rfam family "tRNA". From Rfam's summary of the family: Transfer RNA (tRNA) molecules are approximately 80 nucleotides in length. Their secondary structure includes four short double-helical elements and three loops (D, anti-codon, and T loops). The record is from RNAcentral.